RNAcentral lists this ribosomal RNA (1777 nucleotides) under human gut metagenome. RNAcentral's name for it is "bacterial LSU rRNA". It matches the Rfam family "Bacterial large subunit ribosomal RNA", at positions 1056 to 2925 of the family's 2925-position model. The record is from RNAcentral.
ACGCUCAGUGGAAAGGAUGUGGGAUUACACAGACAGUGAGGAUGUUGGCUUAGAAGCAGCCACCAUUUAAAAAAUGCGUAAUAGCUUACUCAUCGAGUGAUCCUGCGCCGAAAAUGAUUGGCGAUCAAGCGUUAUACCGAAGCUCUGGACUUUGCCGCAAGGCAGAGUGGUAGAAGAGCGUUGCAUGCGCGUCGAAGGGCGAUGGCGACUGACCCUGGAGCACAUGCAAGUGAGUAUGCAGACAUGAGUAACGUUAAGCCGGGUGAAAUCCCCGGCCGCCGUAAACCCGAGGUUUCCAGGGCAACGUGUUUCGUCCCUGGGUUAGCCGGGACCUAAGCCGAGGCCGAGAGGCGUAGGCGAUGGACAUCAGGUUAAUAAUCCUGAGCUCGCAACCCUUAAACUGGGGGGACGCAUGAGAAAAGAUGACUAGGUUAUUGAAUUCCGAGUUGAGUCCACGGACUCAGCGCAUCAUUGGAUCGAGUGCCAAGAAAAGCCCCAGCGUAUGCUAAGCGACCCGUACCGCAAACCGACACAGGUGGGUGGGUAGAAUAUACCAAGGCGUAAGAGUGAAACCUGGUUAAGGAACUCGGCAAAUUAGCCCCGUAACUUCGGAAGAAGGGGUGCCUGCAGCGAUGCAGGCCGCAGAGAAAUGGCCCAACCGACUGUUUAUCAAAAACACAGCACUCUGCAAAGACGCAAGUCGAAGUAUAGGGUGUGACACGUGACCAAUGCCGAAAGAUUAAGGCAAGGGGUUAGCCGCAAGGCGAAGCUCUAAACCCAAGUCCCGGUGAAUGUCGGCCGUAACUAUAACGGUCCUAAGGUAGCGAAAUUCCUUGUCGGGUAAGUUCCGACCUGCACGAAUCGUGAAACGAGUUGGGCACUGUCUCAACCAGGCGCUCAGUGAAAUUGUAGUGGCGGUGAAGAUGCCGCCUACCCGCAGAAGGACGGAAAGACCCUAUAGACCUUAACUGUAAGCUGUCAUUGUUUCUUCGGUUUUAAUGCUCAGAGUAAGUGGGAGACGCUGAAGACGCCCUUUAGGGGGCGUCCGAGUCAUCAAUGAGACACCACCCUUUGAAACUGGAGGAUCUAACCCUGAGCCGUGAAUCCGGCCAGAGGACCGUGUCAGCCGGUCAGUUUUACUGGGGCGGUAUCCUCCCAAAGAGUAACGGAGGAGCGCGAAGGUGGGCUCAGCCCGGUUGGCAACCGGGUGUCGAGUGCAUGGGCAUAAGCCCGCCUAACUGUGAGACCAACAAGUCGAGCAGAUGCGAAAGCAGGCCCAAGUGAUCCGGCGGUAGAAAGUGGAAUUGCCGUCGCUCAACGGAUAAAAGGUACCUUAGGGAUAACAGGCUGAUCACGCCCAAGAGUUCACAUCGACGGCGUGGUUUGGCACCUCGAUGUCGGCUCGUCGCAUCCUGGGGCUGGAGAAGGUCCCAAGGGUCCGGCUGUUCGCCGGUUAAAGCGGCACGCGAGCUGGGUUCAGAACGUCGCGAGACAGUUCGGUCCUCUAUCCUCUGUGGGCGUUGGAAAAUUGAGGGGUUCAGACCUUAGUACGAGAGGACCGGGUCUGACGCACCACUGGUGCAUCGGUUGUACUGUCAAGUGCAUGGCCGAGUAGCUAAGUGCGGACGGGAUAAGCGCUGAAAGCAUCUAAGCGCCAAGCCCUUCCCAAGAUGAGUUUUCCCUACAGGUUCGUGGAAGACCACCACGUUGAUAGGUCGCAGGUGUAAGUGCAGCAAUGUAUUGAGCCGAGCGAUACUAAUUACCAAUUGACUUCAUC